GACGAACGCUGGCGGCGUGCCUAAUACAUGCAAGUAGAACGCUGAAGAGAGGAGCUUGCUCUUCUUGGAUGAGUUGCGAACGGGUGAGUAACGCGUAGGUAACCUGCCUUGUAGCGGGGGAUAACUAUUGGAAACGAUAGCUAAUACCGCAUACAAUGGAUGACACAUGUCAUUUAUUUGAAAGGGGCAAUUGCUCCACUACAAGAUGGACCUGCGUUGUAUUAGCUAGUAGGUGAGGUAACGGCUCACCUAGGCGACGAUACAUAGCCGACCUGAGAGGGUGAUCGGCCACACUGGGACUGAGACACGGCCCAGACUCCUACGGGAGGCAGCAGUAGGGAAUCUUCGGCAAUGGGGGCAACCCUGACCGAGCAACGCCGCGUGAGUGAAGAAGGUUUUCGGAUCGUAAAGCUCUGUUGUAAGUCAAGAACGAGUGUGAGAGUGGAAAGUUCACACUGUGACGGUAGCUUACCAGAAAGGGACGGCUAACUACGUG
This 496-nucleotide ribosomal RNA is filed under the name uncultured bacterium. RNAcentral describes it as "partial 16S ribosomal RNA". It matches the Rfam family "Bacterial small subunit ribosomal RNA", at positions 28 to 507 of the family's 1533-position model. The record is from RNAcentral.